AGCGAACGUUUGCGGCGGGCUUAACACAUGCAAGUCGAACGGGCUGUUCCUUCGGGGGCAGUCAGUGGCGCACGGGUGCGUAACACGUAGGUAAUCAACCCUCUGGUUGGGGAUAACACUUCGAAAGGAGUGCUAAUACCCGGUAUGGCGCAGCGGUCUUCGGAUCGCGGCGAGAAAGACCCGCAAGGGUUGCCAGAGGACGAGCCUGCGGCCCAUCAGCUAGUUGGCGAGGUAACGGCUCACCAAGGCGAAGACGGGUAGCUGGUCUGAGAGGAUGAUCAGCCACACUGGAACUGAGACACGGUCCAGACUCCUACGGGAGGCAGCAGUGGGGAAUAUUGCGCAAUGGGCGAAAGCCUGACGCAGCCACGCCGCGUGAGCGAUGAAGGCCUCGGUCGUAAGACUCUGUGGGAGGAGAAGAAUAAAGACCUGUGAAGAGCAGGCCUUGACGGUAUCUCCUUAGCAAGACACCGGCUAACUCCGUGCCA
RNAcentral lists this ribosomal RNA (488 nucleotides) under uncultured bacterium. RNAcentral's name for it is "bacterial SSU rRNA". It matches the Rfam family "Bacterial small subunit ribosomal RNA", at positions 29 to 510 of the family's 1533-position model. The record is from RNAcentral.